GGCAGUAGUGGCUGACUGGUUAAGGCUCUGGGUUACUGAUUAGAAGGUUGAGGGUUCAAUCCCCAGUACUGUCA
Molecule: non-coding RNA, 74 nt
Organism: Pangasianodon gigas (Mekong giant catfish)
Lineage: Eukaryota; Metazoa; Chordata; Actinopteri; Siluriformes; Pangasiidae
Source: the annotation of a GenBank genome assembly